CACCGCGGUUAUACGAGAGGCCCAAGUUGAUAGACUCCGGCGUAAAGCGUGGUUAAGACAAAUUUUAAACUAAAGCCGAACGCCCUCAGAGCUGUUAUACGCUCCCGAGGGUAAGAAGCCCAAUCACGAAAGUGGCUUUAUACCAACUGAACCCACGAAAGCUAUGACA
This 169-nucleotide ribosomal RNA is filed under the name Oplegnathus fasciatus (barred knifejaw). Its description in RNAcentral is "partial 12S ribosomal RNA". Lineage: Eukaryota; Metazoa; Chordata; Actinopteri; Centrarchiformes; Oplegnathidae. The record is from RNAcentral.